Long non-coding RNA from Octopus sinensis (East Asian common octopus), 155 nucleotides. RefSeq lists it as uncharacterized. The record is from RefSeq and is a predicted model, not a curated record. Lineage: Eukaryota; Metazoa; Mollusca; Cephalopoda; Octopoda; Octopodidae. The transcript has 3 exons.
GCGGAAGAAAUGAUCCACUAUAGCAGCCAACUUAUACUGUGGAAAUGAGAGCGUUUUUCACAUUCAAUAUUAUGUUUGGUGUUAAACAGCUUCCUCCAUUGUAGAACUACUGGAGUUCUGAUAUAAGGUAUGGUGAUCUAAAUAUAAGUUAUAGU